This 310-nucleotide unclassified non-coding RNA is filed under the name Hevea brasiliensis (rubber tree). The record is from RNAcentral. Lineage: Eukaryota; Viridiplantae; Streptophyta; Magnoliopsida; Malpighiales; Euphorbiaceae.
UAUCCUGGAGGUAUAUUGCCAUAAUCUUGCAGCAAUCCAGUGGGAGGCCAUUAAUAUCUUAAAAAUAGUGAUUCAUCACGGCUCAAAGUCUAUUCUACACCCAUUGCCUUAACAGUUAUGAAUCAAACAUGAUAAAAUAUUCAAAUUUUAAAAAAUUAUAUCUAAUGCUCAUUAUCAAACGUAUUAAAUGAUUAAAAAAAAUUAUGAAAUUAUAUCUGAUACAUUGGGGAUAUAAUAUAUGUUUGAUUAUGUCUAUGUUUGUCCUUUGUUUUCUCACAGGGUGUACGUAACACCCCAAAAUUUUAAAUUU